This 422-nucleotide ribosomal RNA is filed under the name uncultured prokaryote. RNAcentral describes it as "bacterial SSU rRNA". It matches the Rfam family "Bacterial small subunit ribosomal RNA", at positions 355 to 774 of the family's 1533-position model. The record is from RNAcentral.
UGAGGAAUAUUGGUCAAUGGGCGAGAGCCUGAACCAGCCAAGUCGCGUGAAGGAAGAAUGUCCUAUGGAUUGUAAACUUCUUUUGUAAGGGAAUAAAAAAGGGUACGUGUACCCUAUUGUAUGUACUUUACGAAUAAGGAUCGGCUAACUCCGUGCCAGCAGCCGCGGUAAUACGGAGGAUCCGAGCGUUAUCCGGAUUUAUUGGGUUUAAAGGGUGCGUAGGCGGACCAAUUAGUCAGUGGUGAAAGUUUGCAGCUCAACUGUAAAAUGGCCAUUGAAACUGUUGGUCUUGAGUGUAAAUGAGGUAGGCGGAAUGUGUUGUGUAGCGGUGAAAUGCUUAGAUAUAACACAGAACACCAAUUGCGAAGGCAGCUUACUGGGAUACAACUGACGCUGAGGCACGAAAGCGUGGGGAUCAAACA